GAGAGCAAGCCAAGAAUUACAUACAUACUACAUUCUUCUUCCUGGUUCAGGUUCCUGAGAUAUCAGACUGACCUAAUGAAGCACUCACAACUCAACUGAACAUUGGGAUAGUUUUAAAGAAUGAUAUCAGACCUGCAAGGAAAUUGAACCGUCGACCGGGCUGACCAGAAGCAACAUGACCAGUGUUAACUCCCCCGCCUGCCUCCUGGCUCGUAACCAGUUCUAUAGAAACACAACAAGCCCUACAGAGAGUAUAAAGCCUAAUGCAGUCUACAGCCUCUCUGAUUGGUCGAUGCUACAAGUACUGGUCUGGGUGACCAUGUCAACACAACCAGGGUUCCCAGGAGCAGGGGAUUUACUAAUCACCUCUUUAUAUCAUCCUCAGGGUUCCCAGGAGCAGGGGAUUUACUAAUCACCUCUUCAUAUCCUCCUCAGGGUUCCCAGGAGCAGGGGAUUUACUAAUCACCUCUUUAUAUCAUCCUCAGGGUUCCCAGGAGCAGGGGAUUUACUAAUCACCUCUUCAUAUCCUCCUCAGGGUUCCCAGGAGCAGGGGAUUUACUAAUCACCUCUUCAUAUCCUCCUCAGGGUUCCCAGGAGCAGGGGAUUUACUAAUCACCUCUUUAUAUCCUCCUCAGGGUUCCCAGGAGCAGGGGAUUUACUAAUCAUCUCUUCAUAUCCUCCUCAGGGUUCCCAGGAGCAGGGGAUUUACUAAUCAUCUCUUCAUAUCCUCCUCAGGGUUCCCAGGAGCAGGGGAUUUACUAAUCACCUCUUCAUAUCCUCCUCAGGGUUCCCAGGAGCAGGGGAUUUACUAAUCACCUCUUCAUAUCCUCCUCAGGGUUCCCAGGAGCAGGGGAUUUACUAAUCACCUCUUCAUAUCCUCCUCAGGGUUCCCAGGAGCAGGGGAUUUACUAAUCACCUCUUCAUAUCCUCCUCAGGGUUCCCAGGAGCAGGGGAUUUACUAAUCACCUCUUCAUAUCCUCCUCAGGGUUCCCAGGAGCAGGGGAUUUACUAAUCAUCUCUUCAUAUCCUCCUCAGGGUUCCCAGGAGCAGGGGAUUUACUAAUCACCUCUUCAUAUCCUCCUCAGGGUUCCCAGGAGCAGGGGAUUUACUAAUCACCUCUUCAUAUCCUCCUCAGGGUUCCCAGGAGCAGGGGAUUUACUAAUCACCUCUUCAUAUCCUCCUCAGGGUUCCCAGGAGCAGGGGAUUUACUAAUCAUCUCUUCAUAUCCUCCUCAGGGUUCCCAGGAGCAGGGGAUUUACUAAUCAUCUCUUCAUAUCCUCCUCAGGGUUCCCAGGAGCAGGGGAUUUACUAAUCACCUCUUCAUAUCCUCCUCAGGGUUCCCAGGAGCAGGGGAUUUACUAAUCACCUCUUCAUAUCCUCCUCAGGGUUCCCAGGAGCAGGGGAUUUACUAAUCACCUCUUCAUAUCCUCCUCAGGGUUCCCAGGAGCAGGGGAUUUACUAAUCACCUCUUCAUAUCCUCCUCAGGGUUCCCAGGAGCAGGGGGAAUAUCUAAAGGAAGGUGGGUCAGUGUGGUUCUGGGGGAGCCCCAAACCAUGCACCGCCCCGUCCAGCCCACCGCCCCGUCCAGCCCACCGCCCUCGCCCAGUGCUCCCGUCCAGCACCCCGGUCCAGCGCCCCCCAGUCCAGCUCCCCGGUCCAGCUCCCCGGUCCAGCUCCCGGUCCAGCGCCCCCGGUCCAGCGUCCCCGGUCCAGCGCCCCGGGUCCAGCGCCCCCGGUCCAGCGCCCCCCAGCCAACAGAGCGGUCCAGUAGAGUCACACCACCACCAAUCAACAGGUUGAAACACAAAGAGGGAAAGACUCCAAGAGGAAGACGAGGGAGAAGACAUCUUCCACUCUGUCUGUCCUCUCAGCACAGAAAUAUGGACUUGAUCAAGCCAGUCGGUGUCGAACAUGUUUUACAUUUUGCGUCACUCCCUAUCCUACCCUGAAAAAUGCCAUUUCUGCAAGCGCUCUCUAAAAACAGACUUCAGCCUUUAUUCAAUCUCUAUUCGCUGAGGCGUUACAGAUUGCACGCUAUAAAUUUAAAGGUCAUUUCUGAUUGAGUCGACAUAUUACAGCGUUUACCGUGAAUGCACUCUCCACUAACAUUGCCUUUUAAAUUUAAAUCGUGACGUAACGCUGAACUUCCGCGAUAUGGAUUGAAAAGACCCUCCCUUUAUAUUAUUCCAUACAUUGGUAUAAGAUAUGAAUUCAAUCAAACACACAGUCCAGUUAUACACCCUCUGCUCCUACUCUCCUUUUUCUAUUGUUAAUUUUCCCCUCCCUUCCUUUCUUCAUUUCAUAACUUUGGCCACAGCCUGUUCUACUCUGUGCAGCAUAACUAACGGAACAAGAUGUUCCCUUUUCUCCUGAUACUGGCUGGUUGCCAGGCAGCAAUAUGGGAACAUUCAUUCAUGAGUUGAAUAAAACAGAAACCUGUUACCUGGUUCAGAGCUAGAGAGACAGGCAGCAGAAACCUGUUACCUGGUUCAGAGCUAGAGAGAGACAGGCCGACAGGCAGCAGAAACCUGUUGCCUGGUUCAGAGCUAGAGAGAGACAGGCAGACAGGCAGCAGAAACCUGAUGCCUGGUUCAGAGCUAGAGAGAGACAGGCCGACAGGCAGCAGAAACCUGAUGCCUGGUUCAGAGCUAGAGAGAGACAGGCCGACAGGCAGCAGAAACCUGAUGCCUGGUUCAGAGCUAGAGAGACAGGCCGACAGGCAGCAGAAACCUGAUGCCUGGUUCAGAGCUAGAGAGAGACAGGCCGACAGGCAGCAGAAACCUGAUGCCUGGUUCAGAGCUAGAGAGAGACAGGCCGACAGGCAGCAGAAACCUGUUGCCUGGUUCAGAGCUAGAGAGAGACAGGCCCACAGGCAGCAGAAACCUGUUACCUGGUUCAGAGCUAGAGAGAGACAGGCAGCAGAAACCUGAUGCCUGGUUCAGAGCUAGAGAGAGACAGGCCGACAGGCAGCAGAAACCUGAUGCCUGGUUCAGAGCUAGAGAGAGACAGGCCGACAGGCAGCAUAAACCUGUUACCUGGUUCAGAGCUAGAGAGAGACAGGCCGACAGGCAGCAGAAACCUGAUGCCUGGUUCAGAGCUAGAGAGAGACAGGCCGACAGGCAGCAGAAACCUGUUGCCUGGUUCAGAGCUAGAGAGACAGGCAGCAGAAAUCUGAUGCCUGGUUCAGAGCUAGAGAGAGACAGGCCGACAGGCAGCAGAAACCUGUUACCUGGUUCAGAGCUAGAGAGACAGGCCGACAGGCAGCAGAAACCUGAUGCCUGGUUCAGAGCUAGAGAGACAGGCAGCAGAAACCUGUUACCUGGUUCAGAGCUAGAGAGAGACAGGCAGCAGAAACCUGUUACCUGGUUCAGAGCUAGAGAGACAGGCAGCAGAAACCUGUUACCUGGUUCAGAGCUAGAGAGAGACAGGCAGCAGAAACCUGAUGCCUGGUUCAGAGCUAGAGAGACAGGCAGCAGAAACCUGUUACCUGGUUCAGAGCUAGAGAGAGACAGGCAGCAGAAACCUGUUACCUGGUUCAGAGCUAGAGAGACAGGCAGCAGAAACCUGUUACCUGGUUCAGAGCUAGAGAGACAGGCAGCAGCAACCUGUUACCUGGUUCAGAGCUAGAGAGACAGACUGAUUCUCUCCCUCCCUUUUUCUCUCUGUGAGAAGUAUGUUCCCACCCACACACAACUACCCAGUGACCUGGAAAAACUGCUGCUCAGUCUAAAGAUAAAAGCACUUCUGGAACAUAAUGAUCCUUGUUUGUUUUUCCCUGGUCCCUUCUGUUCUAUGUGUUUGGUUCCUGGGUAGCAAGGCAUGACACAUUCACGUAAUCUAAUGGCUACAACGCUAGUAUUGUAGUCUAUGGAUCGACAAUAGCAUUUAGUUAGCUUCUGGUUAAAUCCCCAAGACAGAUCUGUCAAUGUAUUGACUGAUAUGCAAAUAUAAUGUGCUUUAUAUAUUCACAAACAUUAACCUCUGAUGGAAGUGUAAUUUGUAUAUAGUAAAAUAGUCUUUCAUACUUGUUUUAUGCAACCAACCUCACUUGAUUUACCAAAUAAAACCAUAAUAGAAAGAUAUUUUUAAUCCCA
Salmo salar (Atlantic salmon) is the source of this 4094-nucleotide RNA transcript. RefSeq lists it as uncharacterized. The record is from RefSeq and is a predicted model, not a curated record. Lineage: Eukaryota; Metazoa; Chordata; Actinopteri; Salmoniformes; Salmonidae.